UACGUAGGUCCCGAGCGUUGUCCGGAUUUAUUGGGCGUAAAGCGAGCGCAGGUGGUUUAUUAAGUCUGGUGUAAAAGGCAGUGGCUCAACCAUUGUAUGCAUUGGAAACUGGUAGACUUGAGUGCAGUAGAGGAAAGUGGAAUUCCUAGUGUAGCGGUGGAAUGCGUAGAUAUCAGGAGGAACACCGGCGGCGAAGGCGGCCUGCUGGACCGUGACUGACGUUGAGGCUCGAGAGCGUGGGGAGCAAACAGG
This 252-nucleotide ribosomal RNA is filed under the name uncultured bacterium. Its description in RNAcentral is "partial 16S ribosomal RNA". It matches the Rfam family "Bacterial small subunit ribosomal RNA", at positions 524 to 776 of the family's 1533-position model. The record is from RNAcentral.